Molecule: long non-coding RNA, 1540 nt
Organism: Equus caballus (horse)
Lineage: Eukaryota; Metazoa; Chordata; Mammalia; Perissodactyla; Equidae
Source: Ensembl
GAUGACUCCGAUCGUCUCACAAAGGAAGUGAAAAGAAUAUUAGGAAGAAAUUAUUAAGAAGAGCAUCUUUAUAACACCCUGUAACUAUGUUCUUUCCUUUUGUUCUUCUUAAGAAUGCUGUAUUCAAAGCCUCUCCAACAGCAAGAGUUCAGAUGAUCUUCUGCCUUCACCUGGAGCACAAAAUAGUCCAGUCUCACACCUCCACUGCUGCCAAAGUGUGUGACUAAUCAUGGGAGAGAGUUUCUGAGGAGAGGCCAUAUGUAGCUGAAAAUGUAGAUAAAUAGGAUAUUGAGAGCCUAAAAUCUGGAUAAAGAUGCCAUAUUACCAAAGAAAUGGACUGCAAUAGGACCAGAUUGGUCACGAAGGUGAAGAAUAAAAAUGGAAUGGACUUUGAAUUGUUAAAUGGGGAUGUCAAAUUUAGAGAAAUCAGGUUAGGCUGACUUUAGGACGAGGAAGUUUCUAUGAAUCUAUUCAAAUAAUAAAGACCAUGAAGAUCAAUCAAAAUAGAAAGGAAGAGAGGAAAAUCACAUUUUGACUCCCUACAGAUGACUAGACUCUGUGCUACGCCCUUUGAUUUUACCCUUUCAGCAGUUGUGAAAACAUGAUCACUGGAGCAGCCAUAUCAGCAUCACCUGCGUACUUAGCAUAAGUGAGAUUCUUGAACUCCACGCCACACCUAGGCUCAGAAACUCUGGAGCUAAGGCCUGGACAUCUGUGUUUCAAUGCGUCCUCAGGAGAUUCUGAUGUGACUCUAAAUUUGAGAACCUAGGUGUUAAUUUAGGUAGUCUUCACACCAGCUCUGCAAGCUGAGUAUUGUUUAGAGUGUCUUUUAAGGUAAUGAGGCAAACCCCAUGAGAUUAGGGAACAUGUGACAUGUAAGCAUUAGGGCUGAUAUCCACACCCAGAUGUGUCUAACUUCAGAACCUGUUUCUUGUCUGAGCUUUUCAGCACUGUUUGCCAAUAGGCACUAUAGACAUCUGGUAUGACUAUAAGGAGAAGACAGGUAUUGCAUACAUAAUCAGGGAAGGUGUGUAUGCUCUGUGAAUACGUAACAGAGGUUAGGCAAGAAGUUAAAAAAGACAAGGCUGCAAGGGUUUUAGAUUCUGACAAUAGGUUCAAUUAGAAUUGCUUAUCUAAUAGCAAAUAGCUAGAUACUGAGCCAAAAUAUUAGAAUAGUUUACCCACAGCAAACAGCUAGAUACUGAGCCAAAAGCCCUUCUGAGCCAUGAUCUCUAUGGCUGGAGAAGUGAUUUUCAAAGUGUGCCCUGGACCAGCAGCAUCACUUAAAAACUUGUUACGAAUGCAAAUUCUGAUUCUAAGAAUCAGGAACUCUAGUGGGGCCAACCAAUCUUUACUUUAGCAAACUCUCCAGGUGAUUGAGAUGCACACUAAAUUUAAACCACAGGACUGGAGACAAAAUUGGCCUCAGAGGAAGUACAGGAGUGAGGUUGUAAAUGGAGUAAUUAGUGAUUAACUGGCUUGAAUAAGCGGGGAAGGUGCAGAAAACAAGGCAGUCUAAAACUCAGAGCUGCAGGAAAGA